RNAcentral lists this non-coding RNA (45 nucleotides) under Schistosoma mansoni. Lineage: Eukaryota; Metazoa; Platyhelminthes; Trematoda; Strigeidida; Schistosomatidae. The record is from RNAcentral.
AUCCAGCUGACGAGUCCCGAAUAGGACGAAACGCACGUCGUGGAU